AUGGCCGGGAUGUGCCGGGCAGCCGUGACCCUGCUGGAGUGCGGGGGGGACCUCCAGCCCCCCGGGGGGUCCCUGACUCUGCUCUGCCGUGGGUCUGGAUUCGAUUUCGGGAGUUACACCAUGGAGUGGGUCCGCCAAAGCCCCGGGAAGGCGCUGGAAUGGGUUGCAGGGAUCUAUGCCAAUGGUGCCAGCACCAACUACGCGCCGUCAGUCAAGGACCAGUUCACGAUCUCCAGGGACAACGGGCAGAGCUCGGUGACGCUGACCAUGAACAACCUCAAGGACGAGGAUUCCGUCGUUUAUUUCUGCGCCAAGAGUACUGCUGGUGCUAGUUUUGCUUACCGUGUUGACGGUUUCUGGCCCGUCCCCGUCACUCUCGAAUUUCCCCCCCCGUUUUUCCCAUUUCCCCCAAAUCCCCCCGGCUCCCCCUCCCCUGAUGGCCGAGCUGACGCGGAGCCGACGCCGGCAGAAGCGGUUCGGUGCCGGGUCUGGGCCGGGCCGGAGCCUUUGCCCAAAUCCCUGAAUUUCUGA
Catharus ustulatus (Swainson's thrush) is the source of this 531-nucleotide non-coding RNA. NCBI's taxonomy places the organism in Eukaryota, Metazoa, Chordata, Aves, Passeriformes, Turdidae. The record is from the annotation of a RefSeq genome assembly.